CCUUCACGAGAUGUUCCCUUUAUAGCACCCGUAACCAAUCUAGCUGCUUCAUACUGGAGUUGUUCAAGAAGAUCAUUAUCAGUUUCGUUACAACCAUCCCAAACAAUAUCUGCAUAUUCCAAGCAUGAACGAACCAGAUAUUUAUACAAGGUAUCAAGUGUUUUCCUGGUUCAUAGGUUUAAGCAUAUUUAAACGUUUUGAGGCUUUUUGAUGGAUUUUUAAAAUGUGAGAACGCC
Non-coding RNA from Paramuricea clavata, 236 nucleotides. NCBI's taxonomy places the organism in Eukaryota, Metazoa, Cnidaria, Anthozoa, Malacalcyonacea, Plexauridae. The record is from the annotation of a GenBank genome assembly.